RNAcentral lists this ribosomal RNA (515 nucleotides) under uncultured Planctomycetota bacterium. Its description in RNAcentral is "bacterial SSU rRNA". It matches the Rfam family "Bacterial small subunit ribosomal RNA", at positions 117 to 643 of the family's 1533-position model. Lineage: Bacteria; Pseudomonadati; Planctomycetota. The record is from RNAcentral.
AUGGAUAACCUACCCUGGAGUUGGGCAUAGCCAUUCUAACGAAUGGGUAAUUCCCGAUGGCCCAGCGAGGAGACAUCUCUUUGCUGGUAAAGAGUUUCGCUCCGGGAGGGGUCCAUGUGCUAUUAGCUAGUUGGUUGGGGUAACGGCCCACCAAGGCUAAGAUGGCUAGCGGGUGUGAGAGCACGACCCGCGCCACUGGCACUGAGACACUGGCCAGACACCUACGGGUGGCUGCAGUCGAGGAUCUUCGUCAAUGGGCGAAAGCCUGAACGAGCGACGCCGCGUGCGCGAUGAAGGCCUUCGGGUUGUAAAGCGCGAAAGAUGGGACGAAAGCCGAAAGGUUUGACCGAUCAUCAGUAAGCUCGGGCUAAGUUCGUGCCAGCAGCCGCGGUAAGACGAACCGAGCAAACGUUAUUCGGAAUCACUGGGCUUAAAGGGCGCGUAGGCGGGCAUUCAAGUCUGUGGUGAAAUCCAACAGCUCAACUGUUGAACUGCCGCGGGAUACUGGGUGUCUC